Molecule: unclassified non-coding RNA, 220 nt
Filed under: Carex satsumensis
Lineage: Eukaryota; Viridiplantae; Streptophyta; Magnoliopsida; Poales; Cyperaceae
Description: partial ITS1
Source: RNAcentral
UCGUUGCCUUUCGAAAAACACGACCGUUGCACACGUGACAGAACGCUGUCGGGGAGGUGCUUGCUGCCUCCUCGGCCCCACCGGCCUCUUCCCUCUCGCCCUCAGGGCGCGUUGGUCGCUGGCCGGAAUACGGCGCGGGAUGACGCCAAGGAACACGAUAAAGCUGAGGCACCGACGAGCCGCUCAAGGGUUGGUCGGCUGCCGAGGCCAAUAAAAAGAA